CUUGCUUGUUUCGAUCAGGGAUGGGUGACAGUUCUGUCAUUCACACCCCAAGUAUUUCCAACAAACAAAGCCCUAAGUAAACAAAGAAGAAAAAGUGUGGGGAAAGUAAGAAGAAAAUAACCACUGAGCAGACUAUGGCUUUCAAGUUUGUGGGUGAAUGGGUUUAUUUGGAUCAAGCUUCUUCACCGGCUUCCACUGCAGCUUCUUGUGUUGUGGAUGAUUUUGGGGUCCAGAAGACUCUUGGAAGAGGUGGAGAGAAGGUAGUGUUUGAAUUGCAUUCACAUUCAAAAUGCAGUGAUGGCUUUCUUUCGCCUUCCAAGUUGGUGGAAAGGGGUCAUGGAAAUGGGGUGCAAGAAAACUUGCAAGGAGCCAAGAAGGAGUUUGGGAAAAGUGAAGAUGAUUUGGGGUCGCUUCAAAGUGUUGGUCAGAGUAUAGGGGAAGUUUUGAGACCUCUCGAUUAUGAACGCUGAUUGAUCGGCCUCUAAGUGGAAUAUGGAAACUUUCGGUGAAUGUAAUUUUGUUAGAGCUGCUUUGUGUUUGAGAAGUGUGGAAGUAAUUAUGUUUGGAUAUGACUACUCUGACUAUUAUGAGGGCUCUUCCAAGAGAGGUUGACCCAGUAGUGUAUAAUAUGCUUCAUGAAGAUCCAGGUAAUGUUAGCUACUCUGUUGUGGGAGGGCUAGGAGACCAGAUUCGAGAGCUUAGGGAAUCUAUAGAGCUGCGAGGAGUACAUAUUAAAGGAGCUGACUAUUGUUAGACAGUUUUCUUGUUGGAGAGCUGUUAUUGUUGGCUGUGCUGCUAUUGCUGGAGUUGUAAGGAGCUAGCUUGACUGUGGGAGAGGAGAGGCAACAGUCAAUAUACCCAAGCAUACAUAGAUAUGAUUCGAAAUGAAUGGGCAAAGUAUGUCGUGAAGGCGUAUGUGUAGAAGCUAAAGGAAAGCAUAAGAGGAAGUAGGUUGUUGCUG
This is an RNA transcript of Rosa rugosa (rugosa rose), 961 nucleotides long. RefSeq lists it as uncharacterized. The record is from RefSeq and is a predicted model, not a curated record. The transcript is spliced from 6 exons. NCBI's taxonomy places the organism in Eukaryota, Viridiplantae, Streptophyta, Magnoliopsida, Rosales, Rosaceae.